AGUUCUUCGAAAGCGAGGUCGGGCCGCUCCCUGGCCGUCCGGUACUGGAGGCCAGACUGCGCAUGCGUUUCAGUGGCGUUAGCGGCAGACCGGUCUGGCAGUUCCUUCCUCGGAAGGAGAGAUUCCUCUGCCAUGGAGUCCUACGAUGUGAUCGCCAACCAGCCUGUCGUGAUCGACAACGGAUCCGGUGUGAUUAAAGCUGGCUUUGCUGGUGAUCAAAUCCCCAAGUACUGUUUUCCAAACUAUGUGGGCAGACCCAAGCACGUUCGUGUCAUGGCAGGCGCCCUCGAAGGUGACAUCUUCAUUGGCCCCAAAGCUGAGGAGCACCGAGGGCUGCUCUCCAUCCGCUACCCCAUGGAGCACGGCAUUGUCAAGGACUGGAACGACAUGGAGCGCAUCUGGCAGUACGUCUAUUCCAAGGACCAGCUGCAGACUUUCUCAGAGGAGCAUCCUGUGCUCCUGACGGAGGCACCUCUAAACCCACGGAAAAACCGAGAACGAGCUGCUGAAGUUUUCUUCGAGACCUUCAAUGUGCCAGCCCUUUUCAUCUCCAUGCAAGCUGUGCUCAGCCUUUAUGCCACUGGCAGGACCACGGGUGUGGUGCUGGAUUCUGGGGAUGGCGUCACCCACGCCGUGCCCAUUUACGAGGGCUUCGCCAUGCCCCACUCAAUCAUGCGCAUCGACAUCGCCGGCCGCGACGUCUCUCGCUUCCUUCGCCUUUACCUGCGCAAGGAGGGCUAUGAUUUCCACUCAUCCUCCGAGUUUGAGAUUGUCAAGGCCAUAAAAGAAAGAGCCUGCUACCUAUCCAUAAACCCCCAGAAGGAUGAGACACUCGAGACGGAGAAAGCUCAGUAUUACCUGCCUGACGGCAGCACCAUUGAGAUUGGUCCUUCCCGAUUCCGGGCCCCUGAGCUGCUGUUCAGGCCAGACCUGAUCGGCGAGGAGAGCGAGGGCAUCCACGAGGUGCUGGUGUUCGCCAUCCAGAAGUCUGACAUGGACCUGCGGCGCACGCUCUUCUCUAACAUCGUCCUCUCGGGAGGCUCCACCCUGUUCAAAGGUUUUGGUGACAGGCUACUGAGUGAAGUGAAGAAACUGGCUCCAAAAGACGUGAAGAUCAGGGUAGGAGCCUGCUGGGGGCAGGGGUGGGGCGGCGGCUGCUGUGGAACCGGGCCUCCAAGGGUCUGGAGCGCCACCUGGUAUGGCCUCCCCUCUUGCUCCAAGCCUUUCAGACACCGCCAGGUGGCUCCCAGCUUCCACACUGUCCCUGAGGCCUGCCAGAGGGGAGGCCCCCCCCUCACUCACCCUCUUCACAAAGGGGGAAGGGGGCUAGGCUGAGGGCCCCACAUGUGGUCUUUCAGGGAAACUGUAACACUGACAGGAGACUGACUUUGGCCGCUCCCCUGUGACACAGCUCAGCAUCGUAGAGACUGCUGAGCAGAGCCCGGCCUGCCUGAAGAAGGAGGGGUCCUGGAUGGAGGAGGGCAGUUCCUGCCGUGGAGUCUGCUCCCCUCCAGCCCCCGGCAGACCCCGAUCUUGCCCCCAGGUGGCCCCAGCUUCCCUGGGAACUAUAGAUACCUAGGGCUGCCAGAAACCUACUUCUCCACAUGAGCAUCUGGCUGGCUGCAAUCCCCCCCAGAGAGUCCACAGGGUCCAGCCAGCCCUGAAAUGCAGCCGCUGCCUUCGGUGGUGAGAACUGGCCACAGAGCUGUGUGUUGGAAGGGAAGGGAGGGGGCGGGUGGACGUCUCAGAUGCCUCUUGCCACCCACCUUGCAGAUAUCGGCACCGCAGGAGAGACUGUAUUCCACGUGGAUCGGGGGCUCCAUCCUUGCCUCUCUGGACACCUUUAAGAAAAUGUGGGUCUCUAAGAAGGAAUACGAGGAAGAUGGUGCCCGAUCCAUCCAUAGGAAAACCUUCUAAUAUUGGGACAUCAUCUUCACCUCUCUCUGAAGUUAACUCCACUUUAAAACUCGCUUUCUUGAGUCGAGGAACUGCCUGUGUGUAUGAGUGUGUGUGUGUGGGUGUGUGGGUACGAGUGUGUGCGCAUACAAGAGUGCCGUGUGGCCCGGGGAUCCCAGGGAUCCCGGGGCCCAGAAAGGACGAUGAACUACCCACGAUGGUGACGGCCUGAGACCUGGGGUUGACCACUAACUGGCCCCUGACAGGGAAGAGUGGCUGCCAGAGGGCCCCACUCCGUCAGCUGGGCCUUUGUCUGGCUGUGUAGGGCUGUGUUGACUACCAUGGGGAGACAGAGGGAGGUAAGCCCAACCCCUGGGAGACCUUGCUGCUGCCCAUCCUAGGCUGGGCCAGUCCCACCCCCACCCCACCCAGGGUGCCCUGCAGCCCGAGGCAGCUGCUGCCUCCCCUUGCUCAUCAUUCUGCUCUCAAUGCCUCUGGAUCAUGGAUGGAGGCCUGGGGCCAGGGUUGAGUUCUGUCUGGUUUUGUUGCAGUUUGGGUUUAGAAGGCUGGAGAAGCACUCCAGCAGUUAUUACUGAGACUUUGGGGUCAGAAGGGGGCAGGAUGCCCUCAACUUCACCUGGGGACCAGGACCACACUGGGCAUUUGAGGUGGGCAGGAGUAGUGCUGCUUCUGCUGGUGGCAAAGUUGUUGCUCCAACUCCAAGCCCACUUCCAGUGGGUCUCGGGAGAGUUUCAGGAGCCUGUUGGCCCCAGGCCCUGUCACUUGCUUUCCAUCCAUCCUUGGGCAGUGCCAUCUUCAGUUUUAUUUAUUGAAGUGUUUGUUCAGUACAGGGCCUGGGGAGAGGGGGCUCAUUGCCUCCCACCCACCAGGCACCCUGUUCACACUAAUGUUUACAGCACCUAAGCUUAGCACAGUGUCCAGGGCCCCGCCACUCCCUGCUCACGGUGAACUGACAGUAUCCAUAGGCCUCAGGACCACAUGGGGUCAGAGACUACACUCAAAGUCACUCCAGCCUCUUUCUUUCUCCCUCUUCCACUUGCUCACUGCCCUGGAAUCAACAGACUGGUUGCUGGUUGGAUUUUCUGAAGCAAGAGCUAGAAUCACCCUUUAGCAGAGGCUCCGACCCAAGGAAAGGUGUUGGGGAUCCAGCCUCCUUAGGAAUGGAGAAAGAGCUGCAAUUAACCAAGUGGCCUUUUCCCACUCUAGCUGACCCGGUGGGGGGGGACUAGGUUGCAGAGGUGAGCAGGCUCCCCCCCAAGGCCGAUUUAUGCCAUUCUUGUCUUUGGACUUGCUUGCUUAGGGAGGGAGGGGUCAGACCAGAGGGCCAGGAGCUGAUGGGAUCAGGCUCACCUCCUCUGGUCCAGUAGGACCAGGUGCCUUCACUGGACUAGGCUGGCCUGGCAGUGGUCCCAAGGCCCUUCAGCUCGGCUGGUACAAAGCUGAGGCCAGCAGAUCUUCCCCGGCACCCUCACCUGUGACACUAAGACCUGCCCUGAUCCCAGAUUCCAGGCAGUAUUCUCCCCCAUGCCGUCCAACGACCAAAGGCCCUGCCAGGUGUGGGCCGCAGCAGCAGGUGUGUGUGAAAGCGAUGUGGCGACCCGCGGACUGCAGUGUGCUUAACCAGCUCACCUCCCUCCUCUUAGCCCAAGCCUGUCCCUCGCACAGCCUCGCACAAACCACGUUGCCUGGUGGGGCCCAGUGUACUUAAAUAAAGUUGUUCCAAUAGACA
This is a non-coding RNA of Sus scrofa (pig), 3646 nucleotides long. The record is from RefSeq and is a predicted model, not a curated record. NCBI's taxonomy places the organism in Eukaryota, Metazoa, Chordata, Mammalia, Artiodactyla, Suidae.